GCUGAUGUAGCUCAGAUGGUAGAGCGUAUCCUUGGUAAGGAUAAGGUCACCAGUUCGAUUCUGGUCAUCAGCU
RNAcentral lists this transfer RNA (73 nucleotides) under Acidaminococcus fermentans. RNAcentral describes it as "tRNA_Thr_GGT". It matches the Rfam family "tRNA". From Rfam's summary of the family: Transfer RNA (tRNA) molecules are approximately 80 nucleotides in length. Their secondary structure includes four short double-helical elements and three loops (D, anti-codon, and T loops). The record is from RNAcentral. Lineage: Bacteria; Bacillati; Bacillota; Negativicutes; Acidaminococcales; Acidaminococcaceae. RNAcentral also lists the same sequence under 1 other name.